This is a long non-coding RNA of Scatophagus argus, 370 nucleotides long. RefSeq lists it as uncharacterized. The transcript is spliced from 2 exons. The record is from RefSeq and is a predicted model, not a curated record. NCBI's taxonomy places the organism in Eukaryota, Metazoa, Chordata, Actinopteri, Scatophagidae.
CCGUCGAAGCCCCAGCAGCCGAGCUACCCGUCGAAGCCCCAGCAGCCGAGCUACCCGUCGAAGCCCCAGCAGCCGAGCUACCCGUCGAAGCCCCAGCAGCCGAGCUACCCGUCGAAGCCCCAGCAGCCGAGCUACCCGUCGAAGCCCCAGCAGCCGAGCUACCCGUCGGUGGGAUACUCUUCUCUUCCUCGAAAAGGUGUCGCUCCAAGAGGUUUUAGACGGAUUCCAUCUGUGUACCAGCCCACGUGGCGGCAGCAGCAACUGGUACCUGCAUACGAUGGACUUCAACCUUAGAUUCCUGACCUGUUCCUGGAAGCAGUCUGUCUGGUCAUCAACUUUUGUGAAACUGAAUAAAAUACUUGGAACUAUA